Molecule: ribosomal RNA, 480 nt
Filed under: uncultured Anoxybacillus sp.
Lineage: Bacteria; Bacillati; Bacillota; Bacilli; Caryophanales; Anoxybacillaceae
Description: bacterial SSU rRNA
Rfam family: Bacterial small subunit ribosomal RNA
Source: RNAcentral
AAACUCAAAUGAAUUGACGGGGCCGCACAAGCGGUGGAGCAUGUGGUUAAUUCGAAGCAACGCGAAGAACCUUACCAGGUCUUGACAUCCCUGACACCCGAGAGAUCGGCGUUCCCCUUCGGGGGACAGGGUGACAGGUGGUGCAUGGUUGUCGUCAGCUCGUGUCGUGAGAUGUUGGGUUAAGUCCCGCAACGAGCGCAACCCUCGACCUUAGUUGCCAGCAUUCAGUUGGGCACUCUAAGGUGACUGCCGGCUAAAAGUCGGAGGAAGGUGGGGAUGACGUCAAAUCAUCAUGCCCCUUAUGACCUGGGCUACACACGUGCUACAAUGGGCGGUACAAAGGGUCGCGAACCCGCGAGGGGGAGCCAAUCCUCAAAGCUGGUCUCAGUUCAGAUUGUAGGCUGCAACCCGCCUACAUGAAGUCGGAGUUGCUAGUAACCGCAGGCCAGCCAUACUGCGGUGAAUACGUUCUCGGGGAUU